This 431-nucleotide non-coding RNA is filed under the name Perkinsela sp. CCAP 1560/4. RNAcentral describes it as "Eukaryotic large subunit ribosomal RNA". It matches the Rfam family "Eukaryotic large subunit ribosomal RNA", at positions 1 to 439 of the family's 3401-position model. The record is from Rfam by way of RNAcentral. Lineage: Eukaryota; Euglenozoa; Kinetoplastea; Prokinetoplastida; Perkinselidae.
AGGCCUGAGGCGCGGUCGACCACCCGCUGAACUUAAGCAUAUCAUUAAGCGGAGGAAAAGAAAACAACCGUGAUUCCCCUAGUAGCGGCGAGCGAAGCGGGAGAAGCCCAAUCCGAAUCGGCGCAGCCGAGUUGUGGAGUAGUGAGGACGCCGGGGCGGACGUCGCGUGCACCAAAGUCUUCCUGGAAAGGAGCGCCAGAGAGGGUGAUAGCCCCGUGUACGUGCGCGCGCGCCCGCGCGACCCGGUGUCUGCGGAGUAGUACUGCUUGGGAAUGCAGUGCGAACGGCAGGUAUACCUCUGCCAAGGCUAAAUAUCAUGGGGAGACCGAUAGCGAACAAGUAGCGUGAGCGAAAGAUGAAAAGCACUUUGGAGAGAGAGUGAAACAGCACCUGAAGCUGUUGUGAGGUAAGGGAUGGAUCACUAUCCAAGG